GUGCUCACUUCAGCAGCACAAAUACUAAAAUUGGAAUGGUAUAGAGAAGAUUAGCAUGGCUCUGCAAGUAUGACAUGCAAAUUUGUGAAGCGUUCCAUUUUAAA
Molecule: small nuclear RNA, 104 nt
Organism: Pipistrellus kuhlii (Kuhl's pipistrelle)
Lineage: Eukaryota; Metazoa; Chordata; Mammalia; Chiroptera; Vespertilionidae
Source: RefSeq, a predicted model, not a curated record